AACGAACGCUGGCGGCAUGCCUAACACAUGCAAGUCGAACGAGACCUUCGGGUCUAGUGGCGCACGGGUGCGUAACGCGUGGGAACCUGCCCUUAGGUUCGGAAUAACUCCCCGAAAGGGGUGCUAAUACCGGAUAAUGUCUUCGGACCAAAGAUUUAUCGCCUUUGGAUGGGCCCGCGUUGGAUUAGCUAGUUGGUAGGGUAAAAGCCUACCAAGGCGACGAUCCAUAGCUGGUCUGAGAGGAUGAUCAGCCACACUGGGACUGAGACACGGCCCAGACUCGGACGGAAGGCAGCAGUGGGGAAUAUUGGACAAGGGAGGAAAGCCUGAUCCAGCAAUGCCGGGUGAGUGAUGAAGGCCGUAGGGUUGUAAAGCUCUUUUACCCGGGAUGAUAAUGACAGUACCGGGAGAAUAAGCUCCGGCUAACUCCGUG
RNAcentral lists this ribosomal RNA (433 nucleotides) under uncultured bacterium. RNAcentral's name for it is "partial 16S ribosomal RNA". It matches the Rfam family "Bacterial small subunit ribosomal RNA", at positions 29 to 507 of the family's 1533-position model. The record is from RNAcentral.